GUGAGUACACUCUGUCAAAGGGUUCCACGGGAAAAAUUAAUUGGGAACCCCUGCCGUAGAGUAUAACCCUGACAGGGUUCAUAUCAGCUGGUAAGUUCUUUUCAUAGAAAAUAAUGAGAGUUGCCAGUGAUUGGGUUUUAAGCAGCGGUAGCCAAUAACAUUUGCUAAGUUUGUCCCUAAGUUUAUUUGAGCUACAGACCAUUUGUUUCCCAUUUAACUCCCUAAAUUCCAGGUGGCAGAAGCACAAAUGCACAGUAAAAUUGGCCGUGAAAAAAAAUGAUAUUUUUUCCAACAACAAUUAUGCAGCACGCUACUUAGUGCCACAUCAAAGGAAAGGCAAUUAAACACAGAUUGCAACAAUAAU
Non-coding RNA from Pelobates cultripes (western spadefoot toad), 364 nucleotides. Lineage: Eukaryota; Metazoa; Chordata; Amphibia; Anura; Pelobatidae. The record is from the annotation of a GenBank genome assembly.